CGUUCUCCACACUUGGUCCUCUGUCUCUCAUCGUCCCAUGAUCCUGAGUUACAUCCUGUUCUCAUCAACCGUGAUCUAGAUCCAAACUAGGAUCCCGUGUUACAUACGUGUCAUGGCCGCUGACUGUACCACCCAUGUGGGGGAAGGUCCUACAUGUUUCCUGAUCUUUAGCGACCUAUUUGUGAAGAAUAGCGAUAUGUCACAGUGUGAACGAUAAUUACAGGGGCGACCUAUUUAUACUUCACAAGGAAGACCUUGAUUCUGAACAUCACCAUGAACUAUCAGUGCCGAAGCAGGGAUUAGAAAGCAUGCCGCAUUAGGACUGCUUCCAUCGAAUCUCACUCGUAACCUUGAACUUUUAAAAAUGUCAUAGAAACCGUUUGAUACAGAUUAUAAAUUAUACCUCUUUACCAAGCGUCGUCUGCGUUGCAACGUGUACGUACUCUAAUGUAACCUCAUUUUCCCUUCAGGGGGUAAUUUGGAGAUUAAUUCAAUUCCGUUUUAUUGCAUUUAUUUUAGCCAAGAGUCCGUCAUUUUGGGGUCUGAGCUCAGUUUUGCAAAGCUCUUGGAAAUGGCAAGAACAUGGCUGCUUUGUCACCGGUGUAUUCCUGAAAGCGAAUUUCUGCAUCCGGUACUUGGAAUACAUUCUUGAAAAGGAAUUUUGUCUUGGGAGUAAGGAGAACUUUUAUGUGGCCAUGUUAACUGUAUUAGAAUAGAGUAGGGGAAUAGUACAAUCUCUUCUUACUGCCUAGAAAAUGUCAUCUAAAUGGACUGGCAUGCGAGUUCCUUAAUCUUCGCAAAAAGUCAGCCUUUUUUUAUUAUUUUCUUCUGAAGAUAUCCUGAAAAUAUGAAUGGCUUGCAAGCAGGCCCUAGGGCUACCUGGGUGGUCCUAUCCAUUUUACAUCCAACUCUUGAGUUGGGCUCAGGUUGGGAUCUCAGGGAGAGAGAGAGUGAAGAAAGAAGGAAGGAAAGAAGUCCUAGACUCGUUUUGGGAAAUGACCCAUUGUGAUCUUUACAUCAGAGGAGGAAAAAGUGAGCAAGUUGCAUUUUAUGGACCAAAUCUAAAUCCUUGGAAAAUUAUGGCUUGAAAAAAAAAAAAAAAAAAAAAGGAUCCUAUUUUGUUACUAUUCCUACUUUAUCUUCAGAGUACUCGAUCCAUGAAUGUUAAAUCCGGGGGCUCCUGGGUGGCUCAGUCAGUGAAGCAUCUGCCUUAGGCUCCCGUCCUGAUCCCAGGGUCCAGGGACCCCAUAUCGGGCUCUCUGCUCAGCAAGGAGCCUGCUGCUUCCUCUGCCCCUCCCCAUGCUCAUACAUGGUCUCCCUCUCUGCCACAUAAAUGAAUAAAAUAUUUUUAAACCAUGGAACACCAAAUCCAAUUCGAAGAGUGUAGACCUGGUUCUUGGCUAUUAAUUAAGCUUUGGGAUUUCAUGGGUUUGCUUAUAAAUUCAAGCAUGCAUUGGACAAAUAUUUAUUUGAUGCACCGGCCGGUAAGUCACGGGGAAGAUAGCAGCCAACAAAACCGUGCUCUGUGCACAGGGAGCUGAAGGUCCUGUGGGGGAGGUCAGGCGACAAUCCAGUAAGCACAUGGUGUGAUGGCAGGUUUCCCUGGUUCCAGACAUUCUAGCGAAACAAGGGGCCGGGAAAUUAGGGCUCACCACUCAUUUUUUGUCAGGGAAGCUUUACUGGAGUUCAUUCGUGCUCAUGCAUGUAUAUAUUGUCCAUUGAUGCUUUGGGCUGACUCAGCAGAGUUAAAGAUCAUGCUAUCAUUGACAUGGCCCAUGGUGUAAGUUGAAGGGAUACAAUGUGUCGACUUCAUACGUUUAUACGUUGCAACAAAAUAACCAGCAGCAUCGGAUUAGCUAACCGCUCCUUACAUGAUGUGAUUACAGUGUGUGUGUUGAGCACAUUUAAUAUCUACUGUCUUUGCAUUUGUAACAAUGUAUCGUACGGUAUGUGUUAACAAUGACAACCGUGCAGCUCUAGAUCCCCUGAACUUAUUUAACUCGGCAGUUGUGCCCUUUGGCCAAUGUUCAUGGCAGCAUUAUUCAUACUAGCUAGAAGCUGGGGGCAGUUCUCAGGCCUGUCCCUGGUGCAGAAAGACAAUGUGGCCCAUGGGUCUAAAGAAAUUAUAUUCUGCAACUGAAAGGACACAUCCCGAUACAAAGUUACAGCUGGGUGAGCCUGGAAAGCAUUAUGCUAAGUGAAAGAAGCCCUACGCAGAAGGCCGAAUCUUAUAGGGUUUUUUUAUCUGAAAUUUCCAGCCAAGUCACAUCAGAGGAGGACUAGGAAUAAGUAGAUGAGUAUUUACCUGGGCUGGGUGUGGUCUUGGCGCAAGGCUACUUUUGGAAGGGACGUAACUUUUCUAAAAUGGGUUUGCGGUGAAGAUUGCACAACUGUAUAGAUUGACUAAAAAUCACUGAAUUGUAUCUUACAAUGGAUGAAAAUAUGGUGUGUAAAUUAAACCUCUAUGAA
This is a long non-coding RNA of Mustela lutreola (European mink), 2469 nucleotides long. RefSeq lists it as uncharacterized. The transcript is spliced from 3 exons. NCBI's taxonomy places the organism in Eukaryota, Metazoa, Chordata, Mammalia, Carnivora, Mustelidae. The record is from RefSeq and is a predicted model, not a curated record.